Molecule: ribosomal RNA, 504 nt
Filed under: uncultured Glomus
Lineage: Eukaryota; Fungi; Glomeromycota; Glomeromycetes; Glomerales; Glomeraceae
Description: SSU rRNA
Rfam family: Eukaryotic small subunit ribosomal RNA
Source: RNAcentral
AGCAGCCGCGGUAAUUCCAGCUCCAAUAGCGUAUAUUAAAGUUGUUGCAGUUAAAAAGCUCGUAGUUGAAUUUCGGGAUUAAUAUGCUGGUCGUGCCAUUGGUACGUACUAGUAUUAUUGAUUUCUCCCUUCUGAUAAAUCAUGAUGUCAUUAAUUUGAUGUCAUGGGGAAUCAGGACUGUUACUUUGAAAAAUUAGAGUGUUUAAAGCAGGCUCGCGCUUGAAUACAUUAGCAUGGAAUAAUGAAAUAGGACGUUUGAUUCUAUUUUGUUGGUUUCUAGGAUUGACGUAAUGAUUAAUAGGGAUAGUUGGGGGCAUUAGUAUUCAAUUGUCAGAGGUGAAAUUCUUGGAUUUAUUGAAGACUAACUACUGCGAAAGCAUUUGCCAAGGAUGUUUUCAUUAAUCAAGAACGAAAGUUAGGGGAUCGAAGACGAUCAGAUACCGUCGUAGUCUUAACCAUAAACUAUGCCGACUAGGGAUCGGAUGAUGUUAAUUUUUAAUGACU